Molecule: non-coding RNA, 29 nt
Filed under: Homo sapiens (human)
Lineage: Eukaryota; Metazoa; Chordata; Mammalia; Primates; Hominidae
Source: RNAcentral
GUGGGAAGUCAACUGGCAGCCGAUGGAGU